UCCAGCCUGGGUGACACAGCAAGACUCCGUCUCAAAAAAAAAAAAAAUUUCUUUUCUUGUGUGUUGUUUGACUCUGUUUAUGGUUAUAAUUUUAGUUUUCAUUAAACAGAAGUUUUUCCACAUUGAUUUGAAACACAACGUUGACAUAAAGCUAUAAAUGCCAUUGUUCCUGUCCUGGCCAAUGACAUGUAAUCAGAAGUCAUUAGACUAAGAAUCCAGAAAAGGCACAGACUCAGCUAGUGGACAGUGUCUGGAUAAAAGCAAACAUUAAACAUAAAAUCCGCCCUCAAGAAGCCUAUUUUCGCAAACAAUCAUCUUCCAUACCCACUUUGAUGAGAUAAUCAUCUAAUGAAAACAAAUUGAUGGUAAUCAAAUUGAUGGUAUACAUUAAAAGAGGUAAAAAUUAAAGACAAAAGAAGUAUUGGUAAGUAGUUCAGAAAUGUGUACAUUUAAAACAAAAAUAUGAGAUUAAGAGAAAACUAACCUGGUAUUUAGAUGUUUUUGUUGUUUUGCUUAUGUUUAACUUUUAGACUUUCUCAUAGAGACAUUGUAACUAAAAUCCACACUUCUGUAAUAUUGCGCUUGUAAUUUCCAUUUCAAACCCUAAAGCAAAAUUUAAUUUAAUUCAAUUUGCAGUUUGGAGCACAGUGUAGACAAUUUAAACUUAACUAUAUCUAAUUAUUUUCACCAUUUUGUGUUUUAAAAUUAACAACAAAUCUUGCAAUAGCAUAUAUUCUAAUAUGUUCCUUUUCAAUUGGUGAUAAAUGGCAGCAGAAAUCCUUGUAAGGAAAGGAUCCAA
RNAcentral lists this long non-coding RNA (799 nucleotides) under Homo sapiens (human). RNAcentral describes it as "HSALNT0127461". Lineage: Eukaryota; Metazoa; Chordata; Mammalia; Primates; Hominidae. The record is from RNAcentral.